This is a long non-coding RNA of Serinus canaria (Common canary), 1375 nucleotides long. RefSeq lists it as uncharacterized. The transcript is spliced from 4 exons. The record is from RefSeq and is a predicted model, not a curated record. NCBI's taxonomy places the organism in Eukaryota, Metazoa, Chordata, Aves, Passeriformes, Fringillidae.
CAAGUUUUACACAUUUAAUCUGAAGAGGAUGUGGAAGAUCCUGAUAUAUCCUCAUUUUCUUUUCCAGCGCAGUUAAAACCCAGGGACAGUUUUGCAGAUAAAAGCCCUCUUCAGAGUAUUUAGUCUGGUGGCCUUUACCCAGGGACAAAUUCAAGCCUUAAUUUAUCUCCCACAAGAGAACACAAGUCUCAAAGCUGUAGAAACUAUAAGUGCUUUGAACCAGCCCUCUCUCCAAGGGUUAGUAGGAAGUCAAGAUGUUGGAGGUGCAAACUGUGGAUCUGGAAGAGAGAAAUGCCUAGAGGUUGGUGUUCCUGUGAUGCUCCAAGGCCGCUGUAGCAUCCACUGACCUUUCCAUAUGUUGUCUGAAGUCAAGAAGCACAUCUCCACUGCAGCCAUUCCACUCCUGCCUGGCUGGUUUCAUCUAAUUUCAGAGUAAGCAUAGAUUGUUUGGCUCAUACAUUUUAGUUCCCUGUCUGUCUGCAAGGGGAAAUCAGCUCCUGCUGCCUUGGCCCCUGUCAUUUUGGUUUGUCAUCAUGGAGCCUCCUCCAGCUGCUACACCAGUGCACCCAGCUCCUUCAGAGCUGGGCUCUUGGCUUACACAGCACUUGCUUUGACCACAGAUCCCAGGGUUCCCCAGCUGCUUUUCAUAGCUCCUCGCUCACGUUGACCUUGGACUUCAAAUUCUUCACGGCUGUUGAAGUACAGUCAUCAGAGAAACUGAGAGAGAAGCCUCCUUUUAUUUUCAUCACUUCAACAAGAAAAGUCAUCCAAGAGACACAUUACUAGUCCCUUGUAUUUUUGAUCUGCCACUGAUCUGCUGGAGACCUGACCUUUCUCUGCCUCAUCUGGCUUUCUUCUCUGCCUUGUCUGGUCAUGCUGUGGGCAGCAGAAGGCUUUUGAUGACCUUAGUUAUCAUUUUAAGACCUUUCAUGUUCUUAGGUUUUGAUAGAUAUGUCCUUAAAAAUCCUGCUUAAAAACCACAGGAAAUUAAUUAGUUUAAGGAAAGGAUUUGGAGUGUGUAGAAUAUUUUGUUAGAAAGAGAAAACAGCUGCUUUUUCAGUACAAGUAUGAAGUCAAUGUGAAGUGUCAGAUGUGAAAUUUAGAAAGAUUUUUUUAUCUACUUCAUGUGAAUAAUGCAGCAUGUGUUUGUUGUUCAUUUCAGUUCUGGAGAAGUAAUUUCUAUUAUUUCACUUUCUAUAUAAAAGCAAAAGCAUCAUUUCCAUUAGCACAUAUCGUUCCUCUGGGAAAUGCUGAUUUUUAUCCUAACUGCAGUUAAUUAGAUUUAAAAAAAAAUAAACACUUUACUUAGAAGAAUAUGAAUUGAUAAUAGAUAUUUAAAAGUUAAUAUUUUCCUUAAGGCUGAAAACAGAUUUGC